This 235-nucleotide ribosomal RNA is filed under the name uncultured Actinomycetales bacterium. RNAcentral's name for it is "partial 16S ribosomal RNA". It matches the Rfam family "Bacterial small subunit ribosomal RNA", at positions 96 to 334 of the family's 1533-position model. The record is from RNAcentral. Lineage: Bacteria; Bacillati; Actinomycetota; Actinomycetes; Actinomycetales.
UGGCGAACGGGUGAGUAACACGUGGGUGAUCUGCCUUGCACUCUGGGAUAAGCUUGGGAAACUGGGUCUAAUACCGAAUAUGACCACUUCUUGGAUGGGGUGGUGGAAAGCUUUUGCGGUAUGGGAUGAGCUCGCGGCCUAUCAGCUUGUUGGUGGGGUAAUGGCCUACCAAGGCGUCGACGGGUAGCCGGCCUGAGAGGGUGGACGGCCACAUUGGGACUGAGAUACGGCCCAG